CGUUGAGAUGAGGAUAUCUUUGUUCUGAAUUUUUUUUUAUUAAUGUUGACUUGCAAAUCAGACUACAAUUAUCUGAUCAUAUG
Hibiscus syriacus is the source of this 83-nucleotide small nucleolar RNA. RefSeq annotates it as small nucleolar RNA Z155. The transcript has a single exon. The record is from RefSeq and is a predicted model, not a curated record. Lineage: Eukaryota; Viridiplantae; Streptophyta; Magnoliopsida; Malvales; Malvaceae.